This 1538-nucleotide ribosomal RNA is filed under the name Escherichia coli. RNAcentral describes it as "bacterial SSU rRNA". It matches the Rfam family "Bacterial small subunit ribosomal RNA". Lineage: Bacteria; Pseudomonadati; Pseudomonadota; Gammaproteobacteria; Enterobacterales; Enterobacteriaceae. The record is from RNAcentral.
UGAAGAGUUUGAUCAUGGCUCAGAUUGAACGCUGGCGGCAGGCCUAACACAUGCAAGUCGAACGGUAACAGGAAGCAGCUUGCUGUUUUGCUGACGAGUGGCGGACGGGUGAGUAAUGUCUGGGAAACUGCCUGAUGGAGGGGGAUAACUACUGGAAACGGUAGCUAAUACCGCAUAACGUCGCAAGACCAAAGAGGGGGACCUUAGGGCCUCUUGCCAUCGGAUGUGCCCAGAUGGGAUUAGCUAGUAGGUGGGGUAACGGCUCACCUAGGCGACGAUCCCUAGCUGGUCUGAGAGGAUGACCAGCCACACUGGAACUGAGACACGGUCCAGACUCCUACGGGAGGCAGCAGUGGGGAAUAUUGCACAAUGGGCGCAAGCCUGAUGCAGCCAUGCCGCGUGUAUGAAGAAGGCCUUCGGGUUGUAAAGUACUUUCAGCGGGGAGGAAGGGAGUAAAGUUAAUACCUUUGCUCAUUGACGUUACCCGCAGAAGAAGCACCGGCUAACUCCGUGCCAGCAGCCGCGGUAAUACGGAGGGUGCAAGCGUUAAUCGGAAUUACUGGGCGUAAAGCGCACGCAGGCGGUUUGUUAAGUCAGAUGUGAAAUCCCCGGGCUCAACCUGGGAACUGCAUCUGAUACUGGCAAGCUUGAGUCUCGUAGAGGGGGGUAGAAUUCCAGGUGUAGCGGUGAAAUGCGUAGAGAUCUGGAGGAAUACCGGUGGCGAAGGCGGCCCCCUGGACGAAGACUGACGCUCAGGUGCGAAAGCGUGGGGAGCAAACAGGAUUAGAUACCCUGGUAGUCCACGCCGUAAACGAUGUCGACUUGGAGGUUGUGCCCUUGAGGCGUGGCUUCCGGAGCUAACGCGUUAAGUCGACCGCCUGGGGAGUACGGCCGCAAGGUUAAAACUCAAAUGAAUUGACGGGGGCCCGCACAAGCGGUGGAGCAUGUGGUUUAAUUCGAUGCAACGCGAAGAACCUUACCUGGUCUUGACAUCCACGGAAGUUUUCAGAGAUGAGAAUGUGCCUUCGGGAACCGUGAGACAGGUGCUGCAUGGCUGUCGUCAGCUCGUGUUGUGAAAUGUUGGGUUAAGUCCCGCAACGAGCGCAACCCUUAUCCUUUGUUGCCAGCGGUCCGGCCGGGAACUCAAAGGAGACUGCCAGUGAUAAACUGGAGGAAGGUGGGGAUGACGUCAAGUCAUCAUGGCCCUUACGACCAGGGCUACACACGUGCUACAAUGGCGCAUACAAAGAGAAGCGACCUCGCGAGAGCAAGCGGACCUCAUAAAGUGCGUCGUAGUCCGGAUUGGAGUCUGCAACUCGACUCCAUGAAGUCGGAAUCGCUAGUAAUCGUGGAUCAGAAUGCCACGGUGAAUACGUUCCCGGGCCUUGUACACACCGCCCGUCACACCAUGGGAGUGGGUUGCAAAAGAAGUAGGUAGCUUAACCUUCGGGAGGGCGCUUACCACUUUGUGAUUCAUGACUGGGGUGAAGUCGUAACAAGGUAACCGUAGGGGAACCUGCGGUUGGAUCACCUCCUUA